This 644-nucleotide long non-coding RNA is filed under the name Solanum tuberosum (potato). Its description in RNAcentral is "long non-coding RNA (STUB_LNC004156)". The record is from RNAcentral. Lineage: Eukaryota; Viridiplantae; Streptophyta; Magnoliopsida; Solanales; Solanaceae.
UUAGAAGACCCAGUGUUCUUGUCCAUCCUGCUUCCUUUGUUUGGUGUGCCGGUUGCACCAUCCAACGGAGAAUUCUGAGCAAUUGAUGAUCCCCCUGGUAUGAUAGUGUCGCUGUAUCCUCUUAUCCUCAGCUUAUAGAUUCCGGACAUAGAAUUAGCAUUUUCCUGCAACGACUUCAUCUUCAAACCGUUCCGUUGUUUUACAGAAACAGCUAAUCUUUUGGCGUAUGCUGGGAUCUCCUGUCUCUGGGAUUUACCAGUUGUACGCCUCUUGAAAUUCACAGGUAGCUUACUCGAGCGUAGUGGUUUCUUCCUUAUCUGCACCUGUACAGUUGUAGUCAAUUCUGGUAUUUUUUCUGAUGCUACUACUGUUCUACUCAGCAGGGAAGUCCUUGCUAUUGUUGUUUGAUCAUCACGUUCAGCACCUUUGCAAGCGUCAUGGCAAGAACCUUUUGGAUCGCUCAGGUAACGUGACAAGACCUUGGAUUUAGCAAUUUGAAAGCCAAAGCUGCCAGUUGAGUUCCUUCUCAAAAAGCGAGCAUCACGCUCAAUUCUCUCCAGAUGUGCAGGUAUGCCAACAACCAUCUCAGCCAUUUUGAGUUUGAGCAAUGAAACUAGUACCACUGCAGAACUUAUCAGAAGCAG